This is a non-coding RNA of Podarcis lilfordi (Lilford's wall lizard), 75 nucleotides long. NCBI's taxonomy places the organism in Eukaryota, Metazoa, Chordata, Lepidosauria, Squamata, Lacertidae. The record is from the annotation of a GenBank genome assembly.
GCCAACAGAUAGCUCAGCUGGUAGAGCACAAGACUCGUACUCUCAGGGUUGGGGGUUUGAGCCCCAUGUUGGGCA